RNAcentral lists this ribosomal RNA (253 nucleotides) under uncultured bacterium. RNAcentral describes it as "partial 16S ribosomal RNA". It matches the Rfam family "Bacterial small subunit ribosomal RNA", at positions 524 to 776 of the family's 1533-position model. The record is from RNAcentral.
GACAGAGGGGGCAAGCGUUGCUCGGAAUCACUGGGCGUAAAGGGCGCGUAGGCGGGAUGACAAGUCGGUCGUGAAAUCCCUGGGCUCAACUCAGGGGGGUCGGCCGAUACUGCCAUUCUUGAGGGAUGCAGAGGAGACUGGAAUUCCAGGUGUAGCGGUGAAAUGCGCAGAUAUCAGGAGGAACACCGAUGGCGAAGGCAGGUCUCUGGGCAUUAACUGACGCUGAGGAGCGAAAGCAUGGGGAGCGAACAGG